RNAcentral lists this ribosomal RNA (467 nucleotides) under uncultured bacterium. Its description in RNAcentral is "partial 16S ribosomal RNA". It matches the Rfam family "Bacterial small subunit ribosomal RNA", at positions 28 to 507 of the family's 1533-position model. The record is from RNAcentral.
GAUGAACGCUGACAGAAUUCUUAACACAUGCAAGUCAACUUGAAUUUGGGUUUUUAACUUAGGUUUGGGUGGCGGACGGGUGAGUAACGCGUAAAGAACUUGCCUCACAGCUAGGGACAACAUUUGGAAACGAAUGCUAAUACCUAAUAUUAUGAUAAUAGGGCAUCCUAUAAUUAUGAAAGCUAUAAGCGCUGUGAGAGAGCUUUGCGUCCCAUUAGCUAGUUGGAGAGGUAACGGCUCACCAAGGCGAUGAUGGGUAGCCGGCCUGAGAGGGUGAUCGGCCACAAGGGGACUGAGACACGGCCCUUACUCCUACGGGAGGCAGCAGUGGGGAAUAUUGGACAAUGGACCAAGAGUCUGAUCCAGCAAUUCUGUGUGCACGAUGAAGUUUUUCGGAAUGUAAAGUGCUUUCAGUUGGGAAGAAAGAAAUGACGGUACCAACAGAAGAAGUGACGGCUAAAUACGUG